This 180-nucleotide ribosomal RNA is filed under the name Helicobacter pylori. RNAcentral describes it as "partial 16S ribosomal RNA". It matches the Rfam family "Bacterial small subunit ribosomal RNA", at positions 1354 to 1533 of the family's 1533-position model. The record is from RNAcentral. Lineage: Bacteria; Pseudomonadati; Campylobacterota; Epsilonproteobacteria; Campylobacterales; Helicobacteraceae.
AUGUUGCGGUGAAUACGUUCCCGGGUCUUGUACUCACCGCCCGUCACACCAUGGGAGUUGUGUUUGCCUUAAGUCAGGAUGCUAAAUUAGCUACUGCCCACGGCACACACAGCGACUGGGGUGAAGUCGUAACAAGGUAACCGUAGGUGAACCUGCGGUUGGAUCACCUCCUUUCUAGAG